RNAcentral lists this long non-coding RNA (423 nucleotides) under Androctonus crassicauda. Lineage: Eukaryota; Metazoa; Arthropoda; Arachnida; Scorpiones; Buthidae. The record is from RNAcentral.
AACUGUCCUUCUACAGGCUGUCCGUUCCUGCGGAGGGGCCAGCUGGAUGGUGGAGGACGGUCCGGGCCCGGAUUCCGUGAUGUGUGUUUUCGGGGGGUGGAACUCGAGACUCGAACCCGAGUCUGCCAGAGUGGAGGACCAAUAUGUUUCCACGCAGCUAGUCUGGCCGACUGCAGACGUGUUCGGUCACGCCUGUGAAAUAUUCUUUCCGAUCAACUCGAUCGUUACCCAUAGUGUGAACAGGUUCGUUACAAACAAUGCAAAAAUAUUUGACCGGAUUGAGAGCUGAGAAAGAACAGGCUUAUAAAAUUCAUCUAAAGAUGUCUGAACACCUAAUUGUUCUUUUAAUUGAUCUUUGUUAUUUUUUCUUAUUUCUUUAUCUAAUUUAAUUAAAAAAGUAAAAUUUUUUUAUUUCCUGUUUGU